Molecule: long non-coding RNA, 932 nt
Filed under: Marmota monax (woodchuck)
Lineage: Eukaryota; Metazoa; Chordata; Mammalia; Rodentia; Sciuridae
Source: RNAcentral
GGAAGCAGAACAGCCAGAGUUGGCCACAUUUUAAAUGUUUCACAAAAAAACAACCAGUGUGGGAGCUUGAGAAAAGUUAUCCUGGUUCAUUCAUGCUUCCACUGUCACUUCAAAAUAAAUAUCAGGAAAGGAUCAUGAUUGUCUUAGUCCAUUGGAUUAAUAUAACAAAAAUAACCAGAGUUGCAUGGUUUAGACAAAAGACAUUUAUUUCUCACAAUUCUGAAGGCUAGAAGUCUAAGAUCAAGGUUCUGGCAGGUUGAGUGUCUGGUGAGGGCCUGCCUUCUUGUUCAUAGAUGGUGUGUCCUGGAUGUGUCCUCACAUGGUGGAAGGGCUGAGGCAUCUCUCUGGGAUCUCUUUUCUAAGAGUGCUAAUCCAUUAAUUACGGCUUCACAGUCAUGACCUAAUCACUUCCCCAAAACCCUGCCUCCUAAGACCAUCAUUGCCUUGGGGGUGAGGAUUUCAUUAUACAGAUUAUGGAGGGAGACAAAUAUUCACUCCACAACAAUGGUCAGAUCCCAUGGAAAGCUAAAUAUGGUGGUGCACACUCGUAAUCCCGAUGGCUUGGGAAGCUGAGGCAGUAGGAAUGUAAGUUCAAAGCCAGCCUUAGCAACUUAACAAGGCCCUAAGCAACUUAGCGAGACCCUGUCUCAAAAUUUAAGAAAAGGUGGAGGUGUACUGGGGAUAUGGAUCAAUGGUCAAGUGCCUCUGGGUUCAACUUCUGCACCCAAAUAAAUAAAUAAUCACAUGGAAAGCUAUUAUAGGACAAAAGAAUAAUGAGCAGAAUAUUAUUCUUACAAACAAGAAAAUUUUCCAGGAAGGUAUGCCCAGAAACAGACACAAAAAUAGGACCUAAUAAUGCAUCAGUCGCUGAGGAAAAUCAAGUUGGUCAGGGACUGGUUAUUACUGAAGCUAGGGAUGUAUGGAGAGGGGGG